Molecule: ribosomal RNA, 373 nt
Filed under: uncultured bacterium
Lineage: Bacteria
Description: bacterial SSU rRNA
Rfam family: Bacterial small subunit ribosomal RNA
Source: RNAcentral
AUACGGAGGAUCCUAGUGUUAUCCGGAUUUAUUGGGUUUAAAGGGAGCGUAGGCGGGAGGUCAAGUCAGCUGUGAAAUGUAUCUGCUUAACGGGUACACUGCAGUUGAAACUGGUUUUCUUGAGUGCGUAAGAGGCAGGCGGAAUUCGUUGUGUAGCGGUGAAAUGCUUAGAUAUGACGAGGAACUCCUAUUGCGAAGGCAGCUUGCUGGGUCGUUACUGACGCUGAUGCUCGAAGGUGCGGGGAUCAAACAGGAUUAGAUACCCUGGUAGUCCGCACAGUAAACUAUGGAUACUCUCUGCCGGCGAUACAUUGUCGGUGGCCAAGCGAAAGCGUUAAGUAUCCCACCUGGGGAGUACGUUCGCAAGAAUGAA